This 263-nucleotide ribosomal RNA is filed under the name uncultured bacterium. RNAcentral describes it as "partial 16S ribosomal RNA". It matches the Rfam family "Bacterial small subunit ribosomal RNA", at positions 793 to 1055 of the family's 1533-position model. The record is from RNAcentral.
GUCCACGCCGUAAACGUUGGGCGCUAGGUGUGGGGAACCUUCCACGUUCUCCGUGCCGCAGCUAACGCAUUAAGCGCCCCGCCUGGGGGAGUACGGCCGCAAGGCUAAAACUCAAAGGAAUUGACGGGGGCCCGCACAAGCGGCGGAGCAUGUGGCUUAAUUCGACGCAACGCGAAGAACCUUACCAAGGCUUGACAUAUACCGAAAACUCGUAGAGAUACGGGGUCCGCAAGGGCGGUAUACAGGUGGUGCAUGGUUGUCGU